This 68-nucleotide transfer RNA is filed under the name Pista cristata. RNAcentral's name for it is "tRNA-Leu". Lineage: Eukaryota; Metazoa; Annelida; Polychaeta; Terebellida; Terebellidae. The record is from RNAcentral.
AAUUGGUUGACAGAUUAUUGUUUUUGGCUUAGGACCAAACCAAGGAGGUCUAAACCCUUCACCAAUUA